ACGGGAGGCAGCAGUGGGGAAUAUUGGGCAAUGGGGGCAACCCUGACCCAGCAACGCCGCGUGAAGGAAGAAGGCUUUCGGGUUGUAAACUUCUUUUAUCAGGGACGAUAAUGACGGUACCUGAUGAAUAAGCCACGGCUAACUACGUGCCAGCAGCCGCGGUAAUACGUAGGUGGCAAGCGUUAUCCGGAUCUACUGGGUGUAAAGGGCGCGUAGGCGGGGAUGCAAGUCAGAUGUGAAAUCCAUGGGCUUAACCCAUGAACUGCAUUUGAAACUGUAUCUCUUGAGUGUCGGAGAGGUAGAUGGAAUUCCUAGUGUAGCGGUGAAAUGCGUAGAUGUUAGGAGGAACACCAGUGGCGAAGGCGAUCUACUGGACGAUAACUGACGCUGAGGCGCGAAAGCGUGGGGAGCAAACAGGAUUAGAUACCCUGGUA
Molecule: ribosomal RNA, 434 nt
Filed under: uncultured Oscillospiraceae bacterium
Lineage: Bacteria; Bacillati; Bacillota; Clostridia; Eubacteriales; Oscillospiraceae
Description: partial 16S ribosomal RNA
Rfam family: Bacterial small subunit ribosomal RNA
Source: RNAcentral